UACGUAGGAGGCAAGCGUUGUCCGGAAUUAUUGGGCGUAAAGCGCGCGCAGGCGGCCCUUUAAGUCUGAGGUGAAAGCCCACGGCUCAACCGUGGAGGGUCCUUGGAAACUGGGGGACUUGAGUACAGAAGAGGAAAGCGGAAUUCCACGUGUAGCGGUGAAAUGCGUAGAGAUGUGGAGGAACACCAGUGGCGAAGGCGGCUUCCUGGUCUGUAACUGACGCUGAGGCGCGAAAGCGUGGGGAGCAAACAGG
This 253-nucleotide unclassified non-coding RNA is filed under the name uncultured Caryophanales bacterium. RNAcentral describes it as "uncultured Bacillales bacterium contains 16S-23S intergenic spacer region". It matches the Rfam family "Bacterial small subunit ribosomal RNA", at positions 524 to 776 of the family's 1533-position model. The record is from RNAcentral. Lineage: Bacteria; Bacillati; Bacillota; Bacilli; Caryophanales.